Molecule: ribosomal RNA, 305 nt
Filed under: uncultured bacterium
Lineage: Bacteria
Description: bacterial SSU rRNA
Rfam family: Bacterial small subunit ribosomal RNA
Source: RNAcentral
CCUACGGGAGGCAGCAGUGGGGGAUAUUGCACAAUGGGGGGAACCCUGAUGCAGCGACGCCGCGUGAAGGAAGAAGGCUUUCGGGUUGUAAACUUCUUUUAAGGGGGAAGAGCAGAAGACGGUACCCCUUGAAUAAGCCACGGCUAACUACGUGCCAGCAGCCGCGGUAAUACGUAGGUGGCAAGCGUUGUCCGGAUUUACUGGGUGUAAAGGGCGUGCAGCCGGGACUGCAAGUCAGAUGUGAAAUCCGCGGGCUUAACCCGCGAACUGCAUUUGAAACUGCGGAUCUUGAGUACCGGAGAGGU